UACGGAGGGUGCUAGCGUUGUUCGGAAUUACUGGGCGUAAAGAGCGUGUAGGCCGUUAGAUAAGUUGGGAGUGAAAUCCCAGGGCUCAACCCUGGAAUUGCUUUCAAAACUAUCUAGCUAGAGUUUGGUAGGGGAUGGCGGAAUUCCUAGUGUAGAGGUGAAAUUCGUAGAUAUUAGGAGGAACAUCAGAGGCGAAGGCGGCCAUCUGGACCAAUACUGACGCUGAGACGCGAAAGCGUGGGGAGCAAACAGG
Molecule: ribosomal RNA, 253 nt
Filed under: uncultured bacterium
Lineage: Bacteria
Description: partial 16S ribosomal RNA
Rfam family: Bacterial small subunit ribosomal RNA
Source: RNAcentral